UCUCUGUGAUGAUGAAAACAGAUGACGAGUCCGAUGCAAUCCAUUCUACAAAACCGUGUGGACAAUCGAGGCAUUUGUCUGAGAGAA
RNAcentral lists this small nucleolar RNA (87 nucleotides) under Hordeum vulgare. Its description in RNAcentral is "Plant small nucleolar RNA SNOR75". It matches the Rfam family "Plant small nucleolar RNA SNOR75". From Rfam's summary of the family: U15 is a member of the C/D class of snoRNA which contain the C (UGAUGA) and D (CUGA) box motifs. RNAcentral also lists the same sequence under 1 other name. The record is from RNAcentral. Lineage: Eukaryota; Viridiplantae; Streptophyta; Magnoliopsida; Poales; Poaceae.